RNAcentral lists this ribosomal RNA (395 nucleotides) under uncultured bacterium. RNAcentral describes it as "partial 16S ribosomal RNA". It matches the Rfam family "Bacterial small subunit ribosomal RNA", at positions 338 to 730 of the family's 1533-position model. The record is from RNAcentral.
CCUACGGGAGGCAGCAGUGAGGAAUAUUGGUCAAUGGGCGGAAGCCUGAACCAGCCACGCCGCGUGCGGGAUGACGGCCCUACGGGUUGUAAACCGCUUUUGUACGGGGGUAACUCCCGACACGUGUGCCGGUCUGCAAGUACCGUACGAAUAAGGAGCGGCUAACUCCGUGCCAGCAGCCGCGGUAAUACGGAGGAGGCGAGCGUUAUCCGGAUUUAUUGGGGUUAAAGGGAGCGUAGGGGGUUCGAUAAGUCCGGUGUGAAAGCCCGGGGCUCAACCCCGCCAACGCAAUUGAUAUUGGCAGCCUAGAGUACAGGAGAGGUAGGCGGAAUGCGUGGUGUAGCGGUGAAAUGCAUAGAGAUCACGAGGAACACCGAUUGCGAAGGCAGCCUACC